Bubalus bubalis (water buffalo) is the source of this 1975-nucleotide long non-coding RNA. RefSeq lists it as uncharacterized. NCBI's taxonomy places the organism in Eukaryota, Metazoa, Chordata, Mammalia, Artiodactyla, Bovidae. The record is from RefSeq and is a predicted model, not a curated record. The transcript has 2 exons.
UGAAAUGUUUAUACUGAUUAUGUGUUAACUCUGUAUGCGCUCUGCUGACCAUAUACUUUAAGCUCUUUGUUCCUGCUUCUAUAAAAAAGCUUGACUGCAGAAAUAAACUUGUCAGUCCUUGCAAGAGACUGUCCAAGUGUCCUUCUUUCAGGUUCUUCGCUUCCAAGUCCCAGGGAGAAAAUCCCCAACAAGUGGCGCCACGAACAGGAACUUGAGAGGAAGGCUGAACAAAGUGACGAGCCCCUGCAGAAAGAGAUGGAGAGGAAAUCUGGGUUCCCCUUCGCCAUGUCCGCUGCCGAGAAGGACCCCAAGACCAGACUCCCUUGGGAAGUGACGAAGUUGACGUGAAGGGUCUCAUCAGUGACCCUGGAGGAGCCAAUGAGGAAAUGCCAUCGUCUGAAUCCUUACCCAACAUGGGCUCAAGUGAAAAAACAUGACUCGUCAGGCUGAGCAGACACUGAAGAGCAAGAGGAACAUCAUAACUGCUCCUGGUUUAAUAGAUCAAGCAUUGGAGGCUUUCAUAAAUCUAAGACAAAUUUCUGGACUGAUAAGGACAUAUUGCUGAAUUGGUAUAACGGGGGCUUAACACCCCCACAACCCAGGAUUGUCGUCCCCAUUGUGGGGCCAGAGCACUGGCACAUUUGGAAAAUUCCAGCAGCCUUAGAGCACUUUGCUAGUGUUUAUGAGACUAUGGGUGUGUUUCGUCCUUCUAAUUUUACCUUCCUAUACAAUAGUACUGGCUAUAUUCAAUUGUGUGUUCACCUUCCAUACUUGUUUAUUGUAGGGCAUUUUGAUAUUGACUUAUCAGCCAAGAUUGUCAAUUGUACUGCAUGUGCAUUGUAUACCUGCCUUAAUCACACCAUUUCAUAUCACAAUGCUAGAAUUGCCCUAGUUAAACAAAGAUCUGAGUUAUGGCUUCCCGUAAACUUAAUUGAGCCUUGGACUGAUUCUAUAUUUCUUUCUGUAUUGUUGAAAACUAGGCUUAGGUUAUCUAAGCGCAUCAUUGGGUGGAUUAUUGCAGGCAUCUUAAGCCUUAUCUCCACUGUGACUGUAGGAACUUUGUCCGGUAUGGCUUUACAUAAUUCUAUACAAAAUCAUGAUUUUAUCACUGCUUGGCACAAAGACUCUCAUGAUCUUUGGACUUGACAAGCUCAAAUAGAUCAGCAAUUACAAACAAGAAUUAAUGAGUUACAAACUGUGGUUAUCCACUUAGGAGAUCAAGUGCAGCAACUGGCUUUCCAAACACAUAUACAUUGUCACUGGAAUUUUACUUCUUUUUGUCUGACUAACAUGCCCUAUAAUAGCACUGAAUAUCCUUGGAAUAAGGUUAAGGCGCAUUUGCAGGAUCUCACAAAUAACUGAAGUUUAGACAUCAAUUUGUUGAAACAACAAGUUGCUAAUUUUCAAGUUAGGGUACCUAGAGAAUUGUAUAGCACUCAAUUCUAUGAUACUUUAACCAAAACCCUAUCGUCUCUAGACCCUAGAGCUUGGCUUUCAGGAAGCAAUAUUUUUAUAUAUGUAUUAAUCACCCUGCUCUUUUUGUCCUUGAUUAUGGGAUACAGAAGUCUCUACUCAAGACUCCAUGCUUCCCACAAUGGAGUCCAACUAGCAGCCGCCGUGCUUAAUUUAAAAACAAAAGGAGGAUAUGUUGGGAAGCGUAGUGCAAAAUAGCCGUAAAUGGAGAAAGUCCUUAGGAAAAUGGCGAAGGGCCAGAAAUACCCGGCUUUGCACUGCGGACAGAAAAACAUCUCCUGCCUUGGGUUAUGCUCGGCGCCAAGAGUUAAUAGGGAUGUUACUUGUGAAAGCGGGUUGUGGGAUAAGCCCAUGAGUCAUUUAGAGCGCGCUGUCCUUAAAAUGUUUUUACUGAUUAUGUGUUAACUCCGUAUGCACUCUGCUGACCAUAUACUUUAAGCUCUUUGUUCCUGCUUCUAUAAAAAAAUCUUGACUGCAGAAAUAAACUUGUCAGUCCUUGCAA